This 289-nucleotide long non-coding RNA is filed under the name Dromaius novaehollandiae (emu). RNAcentral's name for it is "lncRNA (ENSDNVG00000002967.1)". Lineage: Eukaryota; Metazoa; Chordata; Aves; Casuariiformes; Dromaiidae. The record is from RNAcentral.
UAUCCUCUGCACCUCCGCUGAGCACGACCGACUGGUGCCGCUGACCUCCGCGGAGCCGUGCCGCUCUCUGGCUGCCGAGUCUCCAGCCUACUGAUUCCUGGUUGUGAAGCAGGUUCAGCCCAAGGAUCACAGGGGACAGAUACCUCCUUCAGAAAUAAGAAGCAGAAGAAAAACAUCCAAGCAGAAGAAUUGGAAGGCAAAGGGAAAGAAACGGAUGGGGAUUGCAACUGAAAAAUUAAUGAAGAGAGACCUCGUUUCACAAAGCUUAUAUAAAGUCGGGCUGCAUCUG